ACCAGUUUGCCAACACUCUGUUUCCAAGUUCCACACCAUACUUGGCAUCAAUUUUUAAUGCAAACGAGAUAAACUUGUCAAUUACUCACCGUCUUAUUCCUCGUUGUAUCCGUACAACACGAUAGAAUUUGGCAUCGAC
Small nucleolar RNA from Pichia membranifaciens, 139 nucleotides. It matches the Rfam family "Small nucleolar RNA snR80". NCBI's taxonomy places the organism in Eukaryota, Fungi, Ascomycota, Pichiomycetes, Pichiales, Pichiaceae. The record is from Rfam.